This 468-nucleotide ribosomal RNA is filed under the name uncultured bacterium. RNAcentral's name for it is "partial 16S ribosomal RNA". It matches the Rfam family "Bacterial small subunit ribosomal RNA", at positions 28 to 507 of the family's 1533-position model. The record is from RNAcentral.
GACGAACGCUGGCGGCGUGCUUAACACAUGCAAGUCGAACGGAAAGGCCCUGCUUUUGUGGGGUGCUCGAGUGGCGAACGGGUGAGUAACACGUGAGUAACCUGCCCUUGACUUUGGGAUAACUUCAGGAAACUGGGGCUAAUACCGGAUAGGAGCUCCUGCUGCAUGGUGGGGGUUGGAAAGUUUCGGCGGUUGGGGAUGGACUCGCGGCUUAUCAGCUUGUUGGUGGGGUAGUGGCUUACCAAGGCUUUGACGGGUAGCCGGCCUGAGAGGGUGACCACCCACAUUGGGACUGAGAUACGGCCCAGACUCCUACGGGAGGCAGCAGUGGGGAAUAUUGCACAAUGGGCGGAAGCCUGAUGCAGCAACGCCGCGUGCGGGAUGACGGCCUUCGGGUUGUAAACCGCUUUCGCCUGUGACGAAGCGUGAGUGACGGUAAUGGGUAAAGAAGCACCGGCUAACUACGUG